Vidua chalybeata is the source of this 418-nucleotide long non-coding RNA. RefSeq lists it as uncharacterized. NCBI's taxonomy places the organism in Eukaryota, Metazoa, Chordata, Aves, Passeriformes, Viduidae. The record is from RefSeq and is a predicted model, not a curated record. The transcript has 3 exons.
CUGGCACGGAAGUUUCAGGAAUGAACAGGGGGUGGUUACAAGACUGGCAUAGGAAGGCUCCAAUGAUAAAGAAGAGUCUGAAGGUGCUUUGUCCCUCUGGUUUGAUAUUUAAGAAAUCCAAAUAACCACAAGAAGCAGAGAGGUUUUAUGCUGACUUUGUCCAACUAUUCCUGGCUGGGAAAGCAAUGGAGAAACUUUUCUGCCAGAACUACUCAGACCACUUUUUAAUUCCUAACUCCCAGAUACCCCACCUCCUUCAUCUCUUGUAAAGAACUUGUUUUGUUUGAAAGGCAAAGAGGAAAGAGAAUAAACAAAGAUAAACGCCAUGGUAAGUUGACAACGUUCUGUCAAGAGCAGUGAAAAACCUGUUACCACCUGAGAUGCACAGUCACAAUGCAGCUUUCUACUGAUUUUAUUG